Molecule: long non-coding RNA, 648 nt
Filed under: Salvia miltiorrhiza (redroot sage)
Lineage: Eukaryota; Viridiplantae; Streptophyta; Magnoliopsida; Lamiales; Lamiaceae
Description: long non-coding RNA (SMIL_LNC009835)
Source: RNAcentral
AAGCCCAAUUUGCAUCGACGGAAAAUCUACUCCCUCUUGCCUCACGCCGCUGUUACUGUUCCACCACGGCGGCGCUCGUCCCUCAGGCGACGGCGAAGGCGCUUGUCGCUGUUGGAGUGGGGCGGUGUCUGUGUGUGUUCUGUUUGAGGUAAGAGAGAGAAAUAGAGCGUCUAGUUUGGUGUCGCAGGCUAGAGCUCCGGUUGGCUGCAGCCCUGGAUUAGGGGCCUAGCGAGAGCUGAGGGAGAUGACGCCGCAUGGAGCAGCGACGUCAACGUCUGGAUAUGAGGGUGGUCGCCUGUGGUGGUGGAUCGCCUAGAUCUGAGUAUAACACUUAUCUUAGGGACGGAGAGAUUCUUAUUUUAGGGACGGAGAGAGUAUUAUUAUUGACAUAUAUCAGGUACACGUGACUUGAUAUAUGCAACUCAUACGCAGGCUUGAAAUUGUAUGAAAACUUAUCUCAGGCAUGGGCUAAAAAUACAGCCUUCAAAUUAUACGAAAACUUAUCUCAAACAUGGGCUAAUAAUGAAUCCUUCUAAUGAUAUGAUUUAUUUAAGUAUGGGCUCUGGCAACAAAAACAUGUCAGAUAUAUAUAUGUAUAAUGAAUAUCUUCCGUUAAACGUGUUUCGUAAUUCAUGUAUAGCUAGUUAG